AGAGGAAUAGCUGGGUCAAAUGGUGGUUCUGUCCCCAGAUUUCCAAGGAAUCUCCACGCUGCUUUUCAUAUUGGCUGCACCAAUUUGCAGUCCCACCAGCAGU
This 103-nucleotide microRNA precursor is filed under the name Marmota monax (woodchuck). Lineage: Eukaryota; Metazoa; Chordata; Mammalia; Rodentia; Sciuridae. The record is from RNAcentral.